RNAcentral lists this ribosomal RNA (832 nucleotides) under uncultured bacterium. RNAcentral's name for it is "bacterial SSU rRNA". It matches the Rfam family "Bacterial small subunit ribosomal RNA", at positions 60 to 859 of the family's 1533-position model. The record is from RNAcentral.
AGUCGAGCGAGCGGAACUAAAGAUUUACUUCGGUAAUGACGUUAGGAAAGCGAGCGGCGGAUGGGUGAGUAACACGUGGGGAAUCUGCCCCAUAGUCUGGGAUACCACUUGGAAACAGGUGCUAAUACCGGAUAAGAAAGCAGAUCGCAUGAUCAGCUUUUAAAAGGCGGCGUAAGCUGUCGCUAUGGGAUGGCCCCGCGGUGCAUUAGCUAGUUGGUAAGGUAAAGGCUUACCAAGGCGAUGAUGCAUAGCCGAGUUGAGAGACUGAUCGGCCACAUUGGGACUGAGACACGGCCCAAACUCCUACGGGAGGCAGCAGUAGGGAAUCUUCCACAAUGGACGCAAGUCUGAUGGAGCAACGCCGCGUGAGUGAAGAAGGUUUUCGGAUCGUAAAGCUCUGUUGUUGGUGAAGAAGGAUAGAGGUAGUAACUGGCCUUUAUUUGACGGUAAUCAACCAGAAAGUCACGGCUAACUACGUGCCAGCAGCCGCGGUAAUACGUAGGUGGCAAGCGUUGUCCGGAUUUAUUGGGCGUAAAGCGAGCGCAGGCGGAAGAAUAAGUCUGAUGUGAAAGCCCUCGGCUUAACCGAGGAACUGCAUCGGAAACUGUUUUUCUUGAGUGCAGAAGAGGAGAGUGGAACUCCAUGUGUAGCGGUGGAAUGCGUAGAUAUAUGGAAGAACACCAGUGGCGAAGGCGGCUCUCUGGUCUGCAACUGACGCUGAGGCUCGAAAGCAUGGGUAGCGAACAGGAUUAGAUACCCUGGUAGUCCAUGCCGUANACGAUGAGUGCUAAGUGUUGGGAGGUUUCCGCCUCUCAGUGCUGCAGCUAACGCA